CCUACGGGCGGCUGCAGUGGGGAAUAUUGGACAAUGGGCGAAAGCCUGAUCCAGCCAUGCCGCGUGUGUGAAGAAGGCCUUCGGGUUGUAAAGCACUUUCAGUGGGGAAGAAAGCCUUGGGUCUAAUACCCUCGAGGAAGGACAUCACCCACAGAAGAAGCACCGGCUAACUCCGUGCCAGCAGCCGCGGUAAUACGGAGGGUGCGAGCGUUAAUCGGAAUUACUGGGCGUAAAGCGCGCGUAGGCGGUCUGAUAAGCCGGUUGUGAAAGCCCCGGGCUCAACCUGGGAACGGCAUCCGGAACUGUCAGGCUAGAGUGAAGGAGAGGAAGGUAGAAUUCCCGGUGUAGCGGUGAAAUGCGUAGAGAUCGGGAGGAAUACCAGUGGCGAAGGCGGCCUUCUGGACUGACACUGACGCUGAGGUGCGAAAGCGUGGGUAGCAAACAGGAUUAGAUACCCCGGUAGUC
Molecule: ribosomal RNA, 465 nt
Filed under: Vreelandella stevensii
Lineage: Bacteria; Pseudomonadati; Pseudomonadota; Gammaproteobacteria; Oceanospirillales; Halomonadaceae
Description: partial 16S ribosomal RNA
Rfam family: Bacterial small subunit ribosomal RNA
Source: RNAcentral